UGCUUUGGACCUUUGUCCCCUUACUUAUAGACAUUUUUUCUCAAUUGCCUGUUCCAUUCAGUACUCUUCUUUGUCCAUGUACGAUGUACGUUACCGAUUGUUGCCCAUGAGAUUCGGAUCCGAUUUGAGGGUUCCUUGAUAAUUAAGUUUCACUAAGUAGCGUUUUCAGUUUUUCUAUUCCGUCGUUAAAUCUAACCUGUGAAAUGAGCCCGGUGCGGGGGGUGGUACUCGGGUUCAAAGCCAAACAAGCCCGAAGGUUAAAGGGUAUUGUGGUCUUUUUGUAAAAAUGUACCGAAGUUAAGUCAUUACCAACCGGUGAAAGUUAGAACUGUUUUGAGUUUUUUGACUGCCUUUAUUGCUGAGACGAUGAAAGAGCUCGGGAUUAGAGUUGUUGUGGUUGUUGCCAAUGCAACGUUCGUUAUCUGUUUGUCAGUUAUAAGAUUAACAUUCAAAAGAGACAAAAAUCAAAAGCUUUUGUUCUGUAACCUUGAAAAAAAAAAAAAAUGGAGAGCGAAAGAAAUUGACCGAGUGACGCCGUUUGUCUUGUAAAUGGUUAUGAUUUGCUCUGGCAUUAUCAACAAUUCCCAUAUAAAAAAACCCAGCUUUGGCCUGUGUUUCAUACGCUGAAUGGAAUUGGUGAGAUAGAGAAAAUGAUGAUAAAUCACAAAUGUUGAUGUGAAAAAAAUAGGUCAGUAUUCCCUCCCCCCUCAAAUCCUCUCUUUUUCUCCAUUUGAUGGGAUGAUCAUGUUACAAUUCACAAAACCUUAAAAAUAGUAACUGAAUUUGAGAUGCCCCAUGCAAACAAACUUAUCAUCAUCCGACACUUACAAUUCACAAAACCUUAAAACCUUUACUGGGUCUGGGUAUCAUCCUUUUUUUUUUUUUUUUUUUUUGGGUGCACGCGAAUCCUGUUCCUGUAUCACAUUAUGAUUUUAUGACUUACACAUCACUAAGUUGUGUUUGGUUAAGUGGGCAUUGGAUUCCUGGCUGAAAUUUAUUACACGCUUUUAAUAUAUAUAACAACACAGCACUUGCCCCUUUGCAUUUUCAUUGUCCUGCUUUGGACCUUUGUCCCCUUACUUAUAGACAUUUUUUCUCAAUUGCCUGUUCCAUUCAGUACUCUUCUUUGUCCAUGUACGAUGUACGUUACCGAUUGUUGCCCAUGAGAUUCGGAUCCGAUUUGAGGGUUCCUUGAUAAUUAAGUUUCACUAAGUAGCGUUUUCAGUUUUUCUAUUCCGUCGUUAAAUCUAACCUGUGAAAUGAGCCCGGUGCGGGGGGUGGUACUCGGGUUCAAAGCCAAACAAGCCCGAAGGUUAAAGGGUAUUGUGGUCUUUUUGUAAAAAUGUACCGAAGUUAAGUCAUUACCAACCGGUGAAAGUUAGAACUGUUUUGAGUUUUUUGACUGCCUUUAUUGCUGAGACGAUGAAAGAGCUCGGGAUUAGAGUUGUUGUGGUUGUUGCCAAUGCAACGUUCGUUAUCUGUUUGUCAGUUAUAAGAUUAACAUUCAAAAGAGACAAAAAUCAAAAGCUUUUGUUCUGUAACCUUGAAAAAAAAAAAAAAUGGAGAGCGAAAGAAAUUGACCGAGUGACGCCGUUUGUCUUGUAAAUGGUUAUGAUUUGCUCUGGCAUUAUCAACAAUUCCCAUAUAAAAAAACCCAGCUUUGGCCUGUGUUUCAUACGCUGAAUGGAAUUGGUGAGAUAGAGAAAAUGAUGAUAAAUCACAAAUGUUGAUGUGAAAAAAAUAGGUCAGUAUUCCCUCCCCCCUCAAAUCCUCUCUUUUUCUCCAUUUGAUGGGAUGAUCAUGUUACAAUUCACAAAACCUUAAAAAUAGUAACUGAAUUUGAGAUGCCCCAUGCAAACAAACUUAUCAUCAUCCGACACUUACAAUUCACAAAACCUUAAAACCUUUACUGGGUCUGGGUAUCAUCCUUUUUUUUUUUUUUUUUU
Molecule: long non-coding RNA, 1946 nt
Filed under: Citrus sinensis (sweet orange)
Lineage: Eukaryota; Viridiplantae; Streptophyta; Magnoliopsida; Sapindales; Rutaceae
Description: long non-coding RNA (CSIN_LNC004448)
Source: RNAcentral